UGUGGAAUACGAUUAUUUCAGCCUUACGUUCUCAAGGCAAGAUCGUUUUAGCAGUUGCUGCUUCUGGAAUAGCGUCUCUAUUAUUACCAUCAGGUCGAACUGCUCAUUCAAGAUUCAAAAUACCAAUCGAUUUAAACGAGACAUCCAUCUGUCAUAUAACAAAGAACACCCACCUGGCACAAUUGCUAGGUGAAACUUCUCUUAUUAUCUGGGACGAGGGACCUAUGAGCAACCGUCGAUGCUUUGAGUCGCUUGACAGGUCACUUAGAGACAUUCUCAGUUGUCAACAUUGUCCUUUUGGAGGAAAAUCUGUGUUACUAGGUGGAGACUUUCGACAAACGUUGCCAAUAAUUCCAGGCGCCUCAAAAACCACCAUCCUAAGCUCUUCACUUCCACGUUCAUAUCUAUGGCCAUUUUUCAAGGUACACAAACUAACAAAAAACAUGCGUCUUCUUUCACACUGCUCACACACAAACUCCGCUGCUGAAUUUUCCGACUUCUCAAUGUGGCUUCUUGAUAUUGGCGACGGUAAACUUGGCCAAAUAGAUGCCACAGACCCAUGCAACACAAAAACUGUUAACAUUCCUAGCAAAUUUUCCAUACCUUAUAAUGAACACGCUAUUGAUGAUCUUAUUCACUUCAUAUACGAUGACAUUUACCUCUCAAACAUUUGCCCAGCUACCCUUUCCCAAAAAGCCAUCGUCUGUCCAAAAAAUGAAACCGUCAAUGAAAUCAAUGAUCUGGUACUUCGUCAAGCUCCAGGCGAUACCAAAAUCUACCUUAGCACUGACACAAUUGUUCCCCACGUUGGUUGUCAAGAGGAUAUUGAAGUUUUGUACCCACCAGAGUACCUGAAUAUGCUUAACUUUAGUGGUCUUCCGAGUCACAAACUUGAGUUAAAGCCUCACUCGCCGGUUAUUCUCUUACGAAACAUCAAUCAAACUGCAGGCCUUUGUAACGGGACCAGAUAAAUCAUCACACAAUUAUUACCAAGGAUUAUUGAAGCACAAGUUAUAACUGGCACGGCUAUCGGACAACGUGUUUAUAUACCCAGGAUUCUUUAACAUACAACGACAAGGAGCUUCCAUUCACUCUCAAGAGAAAGCAAUUCCCGUUACGCCUUUGUUAUGCAAUGACCAUCAACAAAAGUCAAGGUCAAUCCCUCAAUAAGAUUGGCAUCUACCUACCAUAACCCAUUUUCGGCCACGGUCAAUUAUAUGUUGCCUUAUCACGAGCUACCUCACCUGAUGCACUGAAAAUAGUUAUUAAACCUACCCAAGAAACCACUGACAAUUAAACAAAAAACUUUGUUUAUUCAGACUUCUUAAAUGAAAUUGCCCCGUUAUAAAAUCGAAGACCUUCACAGGAUAACAUGACUACGACAACUGUAUAUUACUGAUAAACUUAUGAUAAAUCAUACCACUAGAGACCCAGAUAAUCAUAAUGAAUGAGGAAUUGCAUCUGAGAACAUAAUAAUGACCAAUGUUGUUACAACCGAACCCGACAAAUGUUACUGCAACUGAACUGAAGAUAUUCUGGUGUUACUUACAAAAAUAAUUUUGUCGUCUGCUCAUGUAUAUGUAAAUGAAAUAUGUAUCAUAUAUCU
Erigeron canadensis is the source of this 1606-nucleotide long non-coding RNA. RefSeq lists it as uncharacterized. The record is from RefSeq and is a predicted model, not a curated record. NCBI's taxonomy places the organism in Eukaryota, Viridiplantae, Streptophyta, Magnoliopsida, Asterales, Asteraceae. The transcript is spliced from 3 exons.